UACGAGGACGAACGCUGGCGGCGUGCUUAACACAUGCAAGUCGAGCGAUGAAGCACCUUCGGGUGUGAAUUAGCGGCGAACGGGUGAGGAACACGUGAGAAAUCUGCCUUCAACACUGGGAUAACUCCGGGAAACCGGGGCUAAUACCGGAUAUGAAACCUGCGGGCAUCCGCGGGUUUGGAAAGUUUUUCGGUUGAAGAUGAUCUCGCGGCCUAUCAGCUUGUUGGUGAGGUAAUGGCUCACCAAGGCGACGACGGGUAGCCGGCCUGAGAGGGCGACCGGCCACACUGGGACUGAGACACGGCCCAGACUCCUACGGGAGGCAGCAGUGGGGAAUAUUGGGCAAUGGUCGGAAGACUGAUCCAGCCAUGCCGCGUGAAGGAUGAAGGCGCUCAGCGUUGUAAACUUCUUUUGUACGGGAACAAAAUGCGACCUGCGGGUUGUACUGAGGGUACCGUAAGAAUAAGCACCGGCUAACUCCGUG
Molecule: ribosomal RNA, 484 nt
Filed under: uncultured bacterium
Lineage: Bacteria
Description: bacterial SSU rRNA
Rfam family: Bacterial small subunit ribosomal RNA
Source: RNAcentral